UGAAUAUGGGGGGACCAUCCUCCAAGGCUAAAUACUCCUGACUGACCGAUAGUGAACCAGUACCGUGAGGGAAAGGCGAAAAGAACCCCUGUGAGGGGAGUGAAAUAGAACCUGAAACCGUGUACGUACAAGCAGUAGGAGCACCUUCGUGGUGUGACUGCGUACCUUUUGUAUAAUGGGUCAGCGACUUAUAUUCAGUGGCAAGGUUAACCGUAUAGGGGAGCCGUAGCGAAAGCGAGUCUUAACUGGGCGCUCAGUCUCUGGAUAUAGACCCGAAACCGGGUGAUCUAGCCAUGGGCAGGUUGAAGGUUGAGUAACAUCAACUGGAGGACCGAACCGACUAAUGUUGAAAAAUUAGCGGAUGACUUGUGGCUAGGGGUGAAAGGCCAAUCAAACUCGGAGAUAGCUGGUUCUCCCCGAAAGCUAUUUAGGUAGCGCCUCGGACGAAUACUACUGGGGGUAGAGCACUGUUAAGGCUAGGGGGUCAUCCCGACUUACCAACCCUUUGCAAACUCCGAAUACCAGUAAGUACUAUCCGGGAGACACACGGCGGGUGCUAACGUCCGUCGUGGAGAGGGAAACAACCCAGACCGCCAGCUAAGGUCCCAAAGUAUUGCUAAGUGGGAAACGAUGUGGGAAGGCUCAGACAGCUAGGAUGUUGGCUUAGAAGCAGCCAUCAUUUAAAGAAAGCGUAAUAGCUCACUAGUCGAGUCGGCCUGCGCGGAAGAUGUAACGGGGCUAAGCAAUACACCGAAGCUGCGGCAAUGUCUUUUAGACAUUGGGUAGGGGAGCGUUCUGUAAGCCGUUGAAGGUGAAUCGUAAGGUUUGCUGGAGGUAUCAGAAGUGCGAAUGCUGACAUGAGUAACGACAAAGGGGGUGAAAAACCUCCUCGCCGGAAGACCAAGGGUUCCUGUCCAACGUUAAUCGGGGCAGGGUGAGUCGACCCCUAAGGUGAGGCCGAAAGGCGUAAUCGAUGGGAAACGGGUUAAUAUUCCCGUACUUCUGACUAUUGCGAUGGGGGGACGGAGAAGGCUAGGUGGGCCAGGCGACGGUUGUCCUGGUUCAAGUGCGUAGGCUUGAGAGUUAGGUAAAUCCGGCUCUCUCUAAGGCUGAGACACGACGUCGAGCUACUACGGUAGUGAAGUCAUUGAUGCCAUGCUUCCAGGAAAAGCCUCUAAGCUUCAGAUAGUCAGGAAUCGUACCCCAAACCGACACAGGUGGUCGGGUAGAGAAUACCAAGGCGCUUGAGAGAACUCGGGUGAAGGAACUAGGCAAAAUGGUACCGUAACUUCGGGAGAAGGUACGCUCUUGAUGGUGAAGUCCCUCGCGGAUGGAGCUGACGAGAGUCGCAGAUACCAGGUGGCUGCAACUGUUUAUUAAAAACACAGCACUGUGCAAAAUCGCAAGAUGACGUAUACGGUGUGACGCCUGCCCGGUGCCGGAAGGUUAAUUGAUGGGGUUAGCGCAAGCGAAGCUCUUGAUCGAAGCCCCGGUAAACGGCGGCCGUAACUAUAACGGUCCUAAGGUAGCGAAAUUCCUUGUCGGGUAAGUUCCGACCUGCACGAAUGGCGUAAUGAUGGCCACGCUGUCUCCACCCGAGACUCAGUGAAAUUGAAAUCGCUGUGAAGAUGCAGUGUACCCGCGGCUAGACGGAAAGACCCCGUGAACCUUUACUACAGCUUGGCACUGAACAUUGAACCUACAUGUGUAGGAUAGGUGGGAGGCUAUGAAGACGUGACGCCAGUUGCGUUGGAGCCGUCCUUGAAAUACCACCCUUGUAUGU
Molecule: ribosomal RNA, 1783 nt
Filed under: Vibrio cholerae
Lineage: Bacteria; Pseudomonadati; Pseudomonadota; Gammaproteobacteria; Vibrionales; Vibrionaceae
Also listed under: 3 other names
Description: partial 23S ribosomal RNA
Rfam family: Bacterial large subunit ribosomal RNA
Source: RNAcentral